RNAcentral lists this ribosomal RNA (467 nucleotides) under uncultured bacterium. RNAcentral describes it as "partial 16S ribosomal RNA". It matches the Rfam family "Bacterial small subunit ribosomal RNA", at positions 28 to 507 of the family's 1533-position model. The record is from RNAcentral.
GAUGAACGCUGGCGGCGCGCCUAACACAUGCAAGUCGAACGAUUAAAGCACCUUCGGGUGUGUAUAAAGUGGCGAACGGCUGAGUAACACGCGGGCAACCUGCCCCUUUCAUUGGGAUAGCCACGGGAAACCGUGGAUAAUACCGAAUACUUCGAGACUUCCGCAUGGAAGACUCGAGAAAGCUCCGGCGGAGAGGGAUGGGCCCGCGGCCUGUUAGCUUGUUGGUGGGGUAACGGCCUACCAAGGCAAUGAUGGGUAGCUGGGUUGAGAGACCGACCAGCCAGAUUGGGACUGAGACACGGCCCAGACUCCUACGGGAGGCAGCAGUGGGGAAUCUUGCACAAUGGGCGAAAGCCUGAUGCAGCGACGCCGCGUGCGGGAUGAAGGCCUUCGGGUUGUAAACCGCUUUCAGCAGGGACGAGGCGAAAGUGACGGUACCUGCAGAAGAAGCCCCGGCUAACUACGUG